GAAACUUAAGGAAUUGACGGGGCCGCACAAGCGGUGGAGCAUGUGGUUAAUUCGACGCAACGCGAAGAACCUUACCAGGGCUUGACAUCCCCUGACCGCGUAUGAAAGUACGUUUUCACCCUCGGGUGACAGGGAGACAGGUGGUGCAUGGUUGUCGUCAGCUCGUGUCGUGAGAUGUUGGGUUAAGUCCCGCAACGAGCGCAACCCCUACGUUUAGUUGCUAACGCGUGAAGGCGAGCACUCUAGACGAACUGCCGUUGACAAAACGGAGGAAGGUGGGAUGACGUCAAAUCAUCAUGCCCCUUAUGUUCUGGGCUACACACGUGCUACAAUGGCCGGUACAGACGGACGCAAAGCCGCGAGGUGGAGCAAAUCCUAAAAAGCCGGUCUCAGUUCGGAUUGCAGGCUGCAAUUCGCCUGCAUGAAGUCGGAAUCGCUAGUAAUCGCAGGUCAGCAUACUGCGGUGAAUACGUUCCCGGGCCUU
RNAcentral lists this ribosomal RNA (484 nucleotides) under uncultured Pelotomaculum sp. RNAcentral's name for it is "bacterial SSU rRNA". It matches the Rfam family "Bacterial small subunit ribosomal RNA", at positions 896 to 1382 of the family's 1533-position model. Lineage: Bacteria; Bacillati; Bacillota; Clostridia; Eubacteriales; Desulfotomaculaceae. The record is from RNAcentral.